GAUGAACGCUGGCGGCGUGCUUAACACAUGCAAGUCGAACGAGAAGUGGAGACGGAAACCUUCGGGCGGAAGACUUUACUUCGAGUGGCGGACGGGUGAGUAACGCGUGGGUAACCUGCCUCAUACAGGGGGAUAACAGUUGGAAACGACUGUUAAUACCGCAUAAGACCACAGCACCGCAUGGUGCGGGGGUAAAAACUCCGGUGGUAUGAGAUGGACCCGCAUUCGAUUAGCCAGUUGGCGGGGUAACGGCCCACCAAAGCGACGAUCGAUAGCCGAUCUGAGAGGAUGACCGGCCACAUUGGGACUGAGACACGGCCCAAACUCCUACGGGAGGCAGCAGUGGGGAAUAUUGCACAAUGGGGGAAACCCUGAUGCAGCGACGCCGCGUGAGUGAAGAAGUAUUUCGGUAUGUAAAGCUCUAUCAGCAGGGAAGAAAAUGACAGUACCUGAGUAAGAAGCCCCGGCUAACUACGUG
This 478-nucleotide ribosomal RNA is filed under the name uncultured bacterium. RNAcentral's name for it is "partial 16S ribosomal RNA". It matches the Rfam family "Bacterial small subunit ribosomal RNA", at positions 28 to 507 of the family's 1533-position model. The record is from RNAcentral.